CCUACGGGGGGCAGCAGUGAGGAAUAUUGGUCAAUGGCCGAGAGGCUGAACCAGCCAAGUCGCGUGAGGGAAGACGGCCCUACGGGUUGUAAACCUCUUUUGUCGGGGAGCAAAGCGAACCACGUGGGGGUCAUUGAGAGUACCCGAAGAAAAAGAAUCGGCUAACUCCGUGCCAGCAGCCGCGGUAAUACGGAGGAGGCGAGCGUUAUCCGGAUUUAUUGGGUUUAAAGGGUGCGCAGGCGGAGGUGCAAGUCAGCGGUCAAAUUGCGGGGCUCAACCCCGUACUGCCGUUGAAACUGCAUCCCUUGCGUGCGCGAGACGUAUGCGGCAUGCGUGGUGUAGCGGUGAAAUGCCUAGCUAUCACUCAGCACUCCGAUUGCGAAGGCAGCAUACCGGCGCGCAACUGACGCUCAUGCACGAACGCGUGGGUAUCGAACAGGCUUAGAUACCCGAGUAGUC
Molecule: ribosomal RNA, 459 nt
Filed under: uncultured bacterium
Lineage: Bacteria
Description: partial 16S ribosomal RNA
Rfam family: Bacterial small subunit ribosomal RNA
Source: RNAcentral